Molecule: ribosomal RNA, 444 nt
Filed under: uncultured bacterium
Lineage: Bacteria
Description: partial 16S ribosomal RNA
Rfam family: Bacterial small subunit ribosomal RNA
Source: RNAcentral
CUACGGGUUGCUCCAGUGGGGAAUAUUGCACAAUGGGCGCAAGCCUGAUGCAGCAACGCCGCGUGGGGGACGAAGGCCUUCGGGUUGUAAACCUCUUUUAGUAGGGAAGAAGCGCAAGUGACGGUACCUACAGAAAAAGCACCGGCUAACUACGUGCCAGCAGCCGCGGUAAUACGUAGGGUGCAAGCGUUGUCCGGAAUUAUUGGGCGUAAAGAGCUCGUAGGCGGUUUGUCGCGUCUGCUGUGAAAAUCCGAGGCUCAACCUCGGACCUGCAGUGGGUACGGGCAAACUAGAGUGCGGUAGGGGAGAUUGGAAUUCCUGGUGUAGCGGUGGAAUGCGCAGAUAUCAGGAGGAACACCAAUGGCGAAGGCAGAUCUCUGGGCCGUAACUGACGCUGAGGAGCGAAAGCGUGGGGAGCGAACAGGAUUAGAUACCCCUGUAGUC